Molecule: transfer RNA, 71 nt
Filed under: Candidatus Omnitrophota bacterium
Lineage: Bacteria; Pseudomonadati; Candidatus Omnitrophota
Description: tRNA-Gln
Rfam family: tRNA
About the family: Transfer RNA (tRNA) molecules are approximately 80 nucleotides in length.
Source: RNAcentral
UGGGGGAUUGUGUAACGGUAGCACAGGUGCCUCUGGAGCACCCAGUCUUGGUUCGAAUCCAGGUCCCCCAG